ACUUAACCGACAAAGCAACUUUCAGAACAUACUACAGAGAAAGGAAAUGAUGUGCUGCUUUUGCAAUUCCUGUUUCAAGAACAGGAGAUACUCUAUAUGGAUCCGUGUGCACACGUGUUCACUCUGAGGGGGAGUGGAGGCUUUGUAAACACGUCCGAUGCACGUCCCUAUGCUGGGGAACUCAGAUGCUGAGGACAACCAGAAUCCUGACUUCCACUCCCCCCUUCCCACCCAGGAGAGCACGGACUCCUUGACCGUCAGUUAUAUCCAGGACCAUGCUGUGAGCUGUGAAGAGACCCCCGAGCAAGGCAAUGAGGGAGGCCUCUAGCGAACUGUCAGCAGGGAACUGAGGCCCUCAGUCUGAAAGCCUAUGAGGCGUAUUAUCCUGCCAACAACCAUACAAAUGGCCUUGGAAGUGAUCCUCCCCCAGCUGAGCCUUCAGAUGAGCUGCAGCACCAAAGGACACCUUGGUUGGAGCCUGAAGGCAGAGGCA
Callorhinus ursinus (northern fur seal) is the source of this 493-nucleotide long non-coding RNA. RefSeq lists it as uncharacterized. The record is from RefSeq and is a predicted model, not a curated record. NCBI's taxonomy places the organism in Eukaryota, Metazoa, Chordata, Mammalia, Carnivora, Otariidae.